UAGAGGUUUGCUGACAAUCUCUUUGGUUGACUCCUUCCGUUUCAUCCAUGUGGACAUUACUUUCAAUCUGUCUCUAAGUGUCAUGGAGAUAAUGGCGCAGGAUAGUCCCAAGGUUGGCUCAAACUCCUCUGGGGGCCCCUCUAUGAUCAGAGAAUCAUAGAAAUGUAGAGCUCAGGGACCUCCAGAGGUCAUCUUAUCCCAAGAGAAGGGAUUGAAAAGAAAAUAAACGGCAGACAGAGACCAGCAGAUCCCUGAAUAAGCCUCCUAGUUAGAGCUGAGUGAAGGGUCCGGAGGAAAGGGAACACCCCAGAGGAAGCUGCCAAUCAGGGAGAGCAUGAAGGAGACUGGGAGGGUGAGGUCCGGGAGUAAGUUCUGGCACGGUCUUGGGGCACAAACAGCAGGAUACCAGGCUAUGAAGCACUGCACAGGAUGAGCUGCGCUUUCCCAUAUUUACUGAUUCUGUGGUGUGUGGAGCAAUGAAGUGCAAGCAUGGGCAGAGCUCUAACUCUGCACCUCCCUGUGGGGGCACCUGAUCGAUGGCACCCCAGGAUGGCAAGGUCUGCAGCCCAUUGGAACUAGCACCAGCCGGCUCUCAGGGGAUGCAGAAAUGAAAGCUUGUCAUUGAAAUUGAUUGAUUCAUAGUUUGGAAGCUGUUCAGCUUUCCGGGCAACAUAAUUCAAGCCUCUUUCAUCCGCAUUUACAGAAGAGACACAGUGGUCCCACCUUAUGGGCUUCAAGUCAGCAAUGUCAGAAGUGAAUUCUUUGGAUUUACCUUGGAAGUUUAUAUGCUCAUAAAUGAUGAUCCCAUUCAUUUUGGUGGGUGUGGCAGGAUCUUUGUGACUUGUUCUUGGAGCCGAAGCAGUGUCUGAGAAACUCCUGCA
Chelonoidis abingdonii (Abingdon island giant tortoise) is the source of this 881-nucleotide non-coding RNA. Lineage: Eukaryota; Metazoa; Chordata; Testudines; Testudinidae. The record is from RefSeq and is a predicted model, not a curated record.